This 253-nucleotide ribosomal RNA is filed under the name uncultured bacterium. RNAcentral describes it as "partial 16S ribosomal RNA". It matches the Rfam family "Bacterial small subunit ribosomal RNA", at positions 524 to 776 of the family's 1533-position model. The record is from RNAcentral.
UACGUAGGGGGCAAGCGUUGUCCGGAUUUAUUGGGCGUAAAGAGCGUGUAGGCGGCCACACAGGUCUGCUGUGAAAACUCGAGGCUCAACCUCGAGCUGUCGGUGGAAACCGUGUGGCUAGAGUCCGGAAGAGGAGAGUGGAAUUCCCGGUGUAGCGGUGAAAUGCGCAGAUAUCGGGAAGAACACCCGUGGCGAAGGCGGCUCUCUGGGACGGUACUGACGCUGAGACGCGAAAGCGUGGGGAGCGAACAGA